GAUGAACGCUGGCGGCGUGCCUAAUACAUGCAAGUCGAGCGAACGGACGAGAAGCUUGCUUCUCUGAUGUUAGCGGCGGACGGGUGAGUAACACGUGGAUAACUUACCUAUAAGACUGGGAUAACUUCGGGAAACCGGAGCUAAUACCGGAAAAUAUUUUGAACCGCAGGGUUAAAAAGUGAAAGACGGUCUUGCUGUCACUUAUAGAUGGAUCCGCGCUGCAUUAGCUAGUUGGUAAGGUAACGGCUUACCAAGGCAACGAUGCAUAGCCGACCUGAGAGGGUGAUCGGCCACACUGGAACUGAGACACGGUCCAGACUCCUACGGGAGGCAGCAGUAGGGAAUCUUCCGCAAUGGGCGAAAGCCUGACGGAGCAACGCCGCGUGAGUGAUGAAGGUCUUCGGAUCGUAAAACUCUGUUAUUAGGGAAGAACAUAUGUGUAAGUAACUGUGCACAUCUUGACGGUACCUAAUCAGAAAGCCACGGCUAACUACGUG
This 497-nucleotide ribosomal RNA is filed under the name uncultured bacterium. Its description in RNAcentral is "partial 16S ribosomal RNA". It matches the Rfam family "Bacterial small subunit ribosomal RNA", at positions 28 to 507 of the family's 1533-position model. The record is from RNAcentral.